This 207-nucleotide ribosomal RNA is filed under the name uncultured bacterium. Its description in RNAcentral is "partial 16S ribosomal RNA". It matches the Rfam family "Bacterial small subunit ribosomal RNA", at positions 524 to 728 of the family's 1533-position model. The record is from RNAcentral.
GACGUAGGGCGCGAGCGUUGUCCGGAUUUAUUGGGCGUAAAGAGCUCGUAGGCGGCUUGUCGCGUCGAAUGUGAAAUCUCAGGGCUCAACUCUGACAUUGCAUUCGAUACGGGCAGGCUCGAGUUCGGUAGGGGAGACUGGAAUUCCUGGUGUAGCGGUGAAAUGCGCAGAUAUCAGGAGGAACACCGGUGGCGGAAGGGCGGGGUC